UAAUGAGAGUUUGAUCCUGGCUCAGGACGAACGCUGGCGGCGUGCCUAAUACAUGCAAGUAGAACGCUGAAGAGAGGAGCUUGCUCUUCUUGGAUGAGUUGCGAACGGGUGAGUAACGCGUAGGUAACCUGCCUUGUAGCGGGGGAUAACUAUUGGAAACGAUAGCUAAUACCGCAUAACAAUGGAUGACACAUGUCAUUUAUUUGAAAGGGGCAAUUGCUCCACUACAAGAUGGACCUGCGUUGUAUUAGCUAGUAGGUGAGGUAACGGCUCACCUAGGCGACGAUACAUAGCCGACCUGAGAGGGUGAUCGGUCACACUGGGACUGAGACACGGCCCAGACUCCUACGGGAGGCAGCAGUAGGGAAUCUUCGGCAAUGGGGGCAACCCUGACCGAGCAACGCCGCGUGAGUGAAGAAGGUUUUCGGAUCGUAAAGCUCUGUUGUAAGUCAAGAACGAGUGUGAGAGUGGAAAGUUCACACUGUGACGGUAGCUUACCAGAAAGGGACGGCUAACUACGUGCCAGCAGCCGCGGUAAUACGUAGGUCCCGAGCGUUGUCCGGAUUUAUUGGGCGUAAAAGCGAGCGCAGGCGGUUUGAUAAGUCUGAAGUUAAAGGCUGUGGCUCAACCAUAGUUCGCUUUGGAAACUGUCAAACUUGAGUGCAGAAGGGGAGAGUGGAAUUCCAUGUGUAGCGGUGAAAUGCGUAGAUAUAUGGAGGAACACCGGUGGCGAAAGCGGCUCUCUGGUCUGUAACUGACGCUGAGGCUCGAAAGCGUGGGGAGCGAACAGGAUUAGAUACCCUGGUAGUCCACGCCGUAAACGAUGAGUGCUAGGUGUUGGAUCCUUUCCGGGAUUCAGUGCCGCAGCUAACGCAUUAAGCACUCCGCCUGGGGAGUACGACCGCAAGGUUGAAACUCAAAGGAAUUGACGGGGGCCCGCACAAGCGGUGGAGCAUGUGGUUUAAUUCGAAGCAACGCGAAGAACCUUACCAGGUCUUGACAUCCCGAUGCUAUUUCUAGAGAUAGAAAGUUACUUCGGUACAUCGGUGACAGGUGGUGCAUGGUUGUCGUCAGCUCGUGUCGUGAGAUGUUGGGUUAAGUCCCGCAACGAGCGCAACCCCUAUUGUUAGUUGCCAUCAUUCAGUUGGGCACUCUAGCGAGACUGCCGGUAAUAAACCGGAGGAAGGUGGGGAUGACGUCAAAUCAUCAUGCCCCUUAUGACCUGGGCUACACACGUGCUACAAUGGUUGGUACAACGAGUUGCGAGUCGGUGACGGCAAGCUAAUCUCUUAAAGCCAAUCUCAGUUCGGAUUGUAGGCUGCAACUCGCCUACAUGAAGUCGGAAUCGCUAGUAAUCGCGGAUCAGCACGCCGCGGUGAAUACGUUCCCGGGCCUUGUACACACCGCCCGUCACACCACGAGAGUUUGUAACACCCGAAGUCGGUGAGGUAACCUUUUGGAGCCAGCCGCCUAAGGUGGGAUAGAUGAUUGGGGUGAAGUCGUAACAAGGUAGCCGUAUCGGAAGGUGCGGCUGGAUCACCUCCUU
RNAcentral lists this ribosomal RNA (1546 nucleotides) under Streptococcus salivarius. RNAcentral's name for it is "Bacterial small subunit ribosomal RNA". It matches the Rfam family "Bacterial small subunit ribosomal RNA". The record is from RNAcentral. Lineage: Bacteria; Bacillati; Bacillota; Bacilli; Lactobacillales; Streptococcaceae.